UUACGGGAGGCAGCAGUGAGGAAUAUUGCGCAAUGCCCGAAAGGGUGACGCAGCGACGCCGCGUGAAGGAUGAAGGCCCUCUGGGUCGUAAACUUCUUUGGCAGGGGAAUAACGGAUCGCUACAGGCGGUCGUGAAUGUACCCUGAGAACAAGCAUCGGCUAACUACGUGCCAGCAGCCGCGGUAAUACGUAGGAUGCGAGCGUUGUCCGGAUUCACUGGGUGUAAAGGGAGCGCAGGCGGGUCGGCAAGUCAGCGGUGAAAUAUUCGGGCUUAACCCGGAAACUGCCACUGAUACUGCCGGUCUUGAGUGUGGAAGAGGUCGAUGGAAUUCCUGGUGUAGCGGUGAAAUGCGUAGAUAUCAGGAAGAACACCGAUGGCGAAGGCAGUCGACUGGUCCACAACUGACGCUCAUGCUCGAAAGCGUGGGGAUCAAACAGGAUUAGAUACCCUGGU
This 454-nucleotide ribosomal RNA is filed under the name uncultured bacterium. RNAcentral's name for it is "bacterial SSU rRNA". It matches the Rfam family "Bacterial small subunit ribosomal RNA", at positions 339 to 791 of the family's 1533-position model. The record is from RNAcentral.